CUCUAUUCGUGAUACCCUGUGACCGCUAUCCGAGUUAUUGAACAAAAUUGGCCAUUUUUUGCCAAAAAGGCGUGUUCGGAUCGACGGCUUCAUUUGAGCUUUUUGUAGGAUUUUCAAUCUUCUACUACCUUUAGAGAAGACACUUUUGGAUAUUCUUCGCCGUUUUCCUAAAACCGCAUGAAAAAGGAACAUCAAACACCUGUUGAAUAACGUGUUGGGCAUGAAAAUCAAAUAAUAUUUGACUUUUCUAUACUAUACAAUAUUAAAACACUCUUUGAAAAUAGUAUACCUAUACGGAUAUUUUUAUCCGAAUAUAGACCGUAAAUGUGUAUUUGGUCAUUUUUCCUAAGCUUGUGACCAUUAAUUCAACGGUUUUUCCCAAUUAUUAUGAAAACCACUUGAAAAAUCAAAGAAAUAACCUUUGAAUACACCAACUAGAUCCAAAACGUAACAAAAACGUUUGUUUUGUUAUUUUUUGAUUGGAGCAAGAUUUGGAAAAGGUGUUCACAGGACACAGACAGAAAAAAAAAAAAAUAAAUAAACACUCAUCACACUUAACCACCCAAUACAUUCCACGCCACGCUCGGGAGAUGAAAACGAAAAUACAAAAUUUUCAGAAAUACCGACAGCCAUCAAUCGAUUUUUAAAACGCCGUUGUAUUGAAUAAAAACAUCGAUGCACUUUUAGCCAAUCUCCGCUGUAAUACAGUAUGUAGCCAUAUAGUAGACAGAUAUAGGAAUUAUUGUUCAAACUCGUCCGACUAUAUAGCACAAAUACCUGACCAUAAUAUUAUGUAUACAAUAAAAAAAAAUUAAAAAAAUAAGGCGGUAAUAACAAUAAAUCGACAAAAUCGUAACGAAAAACGCAAAACAAAAAUGACCCAAUUGAUCCGUUUAUACGAAAACGACGACGACUACGACGACGGUAAUAAUAAGUCCAAAAGAUCACGUUUCGCUUUUCAAGCCAAGCACGUUCAGAUGUUGUCUACAAAUACCCCACACCUACGCAUUACCAUUAUUUAUCUAUAAAUAUAUUACAUAUUAUAUUAUUACAUACAAUAGACGCGUGACUAUUUUGUUUUUUGAUAAACUUUAUGUACGAAUAUUUUAAAAUUAUAUUAUGUCGUUAUGGAAGGUAAAAAAAAAAAAAAAUUACAAACAUUAAAUUAAGCCCUUCUUACCCCGGACCAAAUAUAUCGCUUAUUGUGUUUUUAUAAUGUUCAAUCGCCAAUAACAAAUAUGCGUAAUAAUUCGUUUUCGUAAUAUUUCUCCGACACAGUAUUAUACAUUUAGGAGGUACCAAUAUAAUUUUAAUACAUUUUGACAAAAACCGGACGUACUCAUUGCUCAGCGCCAGAGUAUGUCGCGUGUUGCAGACGAGAAGUGUGGAUGAUAUCUGUAAGAUGUACGGUAAUUGUAUUUAUUUACCCAAAGUGACGGUAAAUCAUUGCGAUCAAAAAUCGAUUCUUGUAUUAAUCGCGUUUUAACUUUUCCCUUAUUAAAAUAUAAUACGGGAGUAUAGUUGUCUCGAAAAUCAAUUAAAAAAAAAAAAAAAACUCACGUA
Molecule: long non-coding RNA, 1563 nt
Filed under: Cinara cedri
Lineage: Eukaryota; Metazoa; Arthropoda; Insecta; Hemiptera; Aphididae
Source: RNAcentral